This 268-nucleotide ribosomal RNA is filed under the name uncultured microorganism. RNAcentral describes it as "partial 16S ribosomal RNA". It matches the Rfam family "Archaeal small subunit ribosomal RNA", at positions 330 to 598 of the family's 1478-position model. The record is from RNAcentral.
GUGCAGCAGUCGAGAAUACUUUACAAUGCGGGAAACCGUGAUAAGGGAACCUCGAGUGCUGGCGCAUAGCGUCGGCUGUCCAGAUGCCUAAAAAGCAUCUGAUAGCAAGGGCCGGGCAAGACCGGUGCCAGCCGCCGCGGUAACACCGGCGGCUCGAGUGGUGGCCACGUUUAUUGGGUCUAAAGCGUCCGUAGCCGGCUCGGCAAGUCCCCUGGGAAAUCUGGCGGCUCAACCGUCAGGCGUCCAGAGAAUACUGCUGGGCUUGGGA